This 254-nucleotide unclassified non-coding RNA is filed under the name Glomeromycetes sp. RNAcentral's name for it is "partial contains 5.8S ribosomal RNA and internal transcribed spacer 2". The stretch from base 1 to 71 matches the Rfam family "5.8S ribosomal RNA", at positions 84 to 154 of the family's 154-position model. Lineage: Eukaryota; Fungi; Glomeromycota; Glomeromycetes. The record is from RNAcentral.
GUGAAUCAUCAAAUUUUUGAACGCAAAUUGCACUCUCUGGUAUUCCUGAGCGUAUGCCUGUUUGAUGGUCAGUAUAAAUAAAAAUCGAGGUGUUGCUUAUUGUGACGCCAUCGGAAUUUGUUCAUCUUUAAUCUUAAUAAAGGUUUAAAGUGACCUAAAAUUGAUGAUACCUUGUGCAUCUCACGACGUACAUAAGAAUUUUUUUUUAUCCGUCCGUAGUUUUCCCAAUCUUUAUUAGUUAUGAUCAUUAUCUU